RNAcentral lists this ribosomal RNA (120 nucleotides) under uncultured bacterium. RNAcentral describes it as "partial 16S ribosomal RNA". It matches the Rfam family "Bacterial small subunit ribosomal RNA", at positions 32 to 151 of the family's 1533-position model. The record is from RNAcentral.
GAACAACGCUGGCGGCGUGCCUAAUGCAUGCAAGUCGAACGGGAGCCGCUUCGGCGGCCGACCGUGGCGGACGGGUGAGGAGCACGUGGGUAACCUGCCCCGACGCGGGGGAUAACUGCG